RNAcentral lists this ribosomal RNA (1379 nucleotides) under uncultured bacterium. RNAcentral's name for it is "16S ribosomal RNA". It matches the Rfam family "Bacterial small subunit ribosomal RNA", at positions 30 to 1394 of the family's 1533-position model. The record is from RNAcentral.
UGAACGCUGGCGGCAGGCCUAACACAUGCAAGUCGAACGGCAGCACAGAAGAGCUUGCUCUUUGGGUGGCGAGUGGCGGACGGGUGAGUAAUGUCUGGGAAACUGCCCGAUGGAGGGGGAUAACUACUGGAAACGGUAGCUAAUACCGCAUAACGUCGCGAGACCAAAGUGGGGGACCUUCGGGCCUCACACCAUCGGAUGUGCCCAGAUGGGAUUAGCUAGUAGGUGGGGUAAUGGCUCACCUAGGCGACGAUCCCUAGCUGGUCUGAGAGGAUGACCAGCCACACUGGAACUGAGACACGGUCCAGACUCCUACGGGAGGCAGCAGUGGGGAAUAUUGCACAAUGGGCGCAAGCCUGAUGCAGCCAUGCCGCGUGUAUGAAGAAGGCCUUCGGGUUGUAAAGUACUUUCAGCGGGGAGGAAGGCGGUGAGGUUAAUAACCUUGCCGAUUGACGUUACCCGCAGAAGAAGCACCGGCUAACUCCGUGCCAGCAGCCGCGGUAAUACGGAGGGUGCAAAGCGUUAAUCGAGAAUUACUGGCGUAAAGCGCACGCACGCCGGUCUGUUAAGUCAGAUGUGAAAUCCCCGGGCUUAACCUGGGGAUCUGCAUUUGAAACUUGCAGGCUUGAGUCUCGUAGAGGGGGGGUAGAAUUCCCAGGUGUAGCGGUGAAAUGCGUAGAGAUCUGGAGGAAUACCGGUGGCGAAGGCGGCCCCCUGGACGAAGACUGACGCUCAGGUGCGAAAGCGUGGGGAGCAAACAGGAUUAGAUACCCUGGUAGUCCACGCCGUAAACGAUGUCGACUUGGAGGUUGUGCCCUUGAGGCGUGGCUUCCGGAGCUAACGCGUUAAGUCGACCGCCUGGGGAGUACGGCCGCAAGGUUAAAACUCAAAUGAAUUGACGGGGGCCCGCACAAGCGGUGGAGCAUGUGGUUUAAUUCGAUGCAACGCGAAGAACCUUACCUGGCCUUGACAUCCAGAGAACUUAGCAGAGAUGCUUUGGUGCCUUCGGGAACUCUGAGACAGGUGCUGCAUGGCUGUCGUCAGCUCGUGUUGUGAAAUGUUGGGUUAAGUCCCGCAACGAGCGCAACCCUUAUCCUUUGUUGCCAGCGGCUCGGCCGGGAACUCAAAGGAGACUGCCGGUGAUAAACCGGAGGAAGGUGGGGAUGACGUCAAGUCAUCAUGGCCCUUACGGCCAGGGCUACACACGUGCUACAAUGGCGCAUACAAAGAGAAGCGACCUCGCGAGAGCAAGCGGACCUCAUAAAGUGCGUCGUAGUCCGGAUUGGAGUCUGCAACUCGACUCCAUGAAGUCGGAAUCGCUAGUAAUCGUAGAUCAGAAUGCUACGGUGAAUACGUUCCCGGGCCUUGUACUCACCGCC